RNAcentral lists this long non-coding RNA (859 nucleotides) under Ursus maritimus (polar bear). RNAcentral describes it as "lncRNA (ENSUMAG00000005308.1)". The record is from RNAcentral. Lineage: Eukaryota; Metazoa; Chordata; Mammalia; Carnivora; Ursidae.
CCCUUCUUUUUUUAUUUUUUAUUUUUUUUUAUUUUUUAGAUUUUAUUUUUUAUUUAUUCGACAGAGAUAGAAACAGCCAGCGAGAGAGGGAACACAAGCAGGGGGAGUGGGAGAGGAAGAAGCAGGCUCACAGCAGAGGAGCCUGAAUGUCCCUGACAAAUUUCUCUAUUCUAGUUAAGAUUUUGGGGGGUCUAUCUUCUAUGAAAAGUGGUCUCUCCUAAGUGAAAGCACCUCAUAUAAGAGAAGGCUCAGUUUGCAGUCAAGAGAAUAAGCAGACAGCAAACUCUGACAUUCAAAGCGUUGAGUUGCAGCAACUAAAUGAUUCCUCUUUCUCUAGACCAAGUAAAAGCCGUCACACCUCAAGUCAGUAUCGUUAAUUGGACACCAACCAUCUAAGGAAACUCAGGUUCAAGCAUGGUGCUCACACAGACAUCCUGGCACAAAGAAACAAAAUAUUGAGGAAUGGGUCCAUACCUCAGACUGAGUGUUCAUCCUUCCUGGAGAGACAAGCAGUCACAUCUAAGUGAUAACCGUCAAAUGAGGGGGCUGAUCUAGGACACUGUUGAGAAUCUUUGCAUCAUUGCCAUGCCACAGUUUUCAUCUAGGCCUUUCCACCUGCUGGGAAUGGACUGGUUGCAUCAGGAAUGGACAAAUCACAAAUGAAUGCCAUUUUGCGUUUUGGUUACAUGGGAUGACUCAGAGAGAUGAGUGUUUUCAAGAAGAAUUUGCAGACUAAAGAUCGGCUAUAAGGAGUAGAAAACGAAGGAGGAAGAAUAGGAUGGUAAGAAGGCGUAUAGAAGGGAUGCCAGUGGUCAAGAGAGCCUUUCCGGAAGAAGCGUUAACCGAACGUGAGGCCGUC